GAUGACUCAUAAAAUGAAAUGCAUAGAAUUUGACAAAAUAUGCUGGAAGGAGCUUAGAGUUUUUAAGGAAUAAAGAGAAAAAUUUGCCUUAAAAUGUAUAAAAAUGAUGCAUUCUUUAACGUCAGACCUCAAGGAAUAAGGUUAUAUAAUGAGAGGUGGGUAGAGAUACUCUUGGAUUGUGAGGGGGGCAGAACAUUUUUGUUCUAAGGGGCAGACAUAUUUCAUUUACAGCAAGAAGAUGAAGGAAUCUCUACAGAAAUAUGUACAGAUAUAGAGGAGUUUCAAGAUUAAAAAUAUGGUUGACUGAGGACCCGGAAAAAUAUGUUUGAUAUGGAAGAAAUGGAGUUGAUGUGGUCAUAUUUGGGAACCGUACAAAGCAAUGUGCGGAGAGCCGUACAUCGUCUGUGACAUUUUCCAGAGCGCCAUGCCUCAUACACCCUACGCUCUCUUCACCGCAGAGGAUCCUCCGCCAGGGCAUGUGUUGAGGACAUUUCAGAG
RNAcentral lists this long non-coding RNA (498 nucleotides) under Homo sapiens (human). RNAcentral's name for it is "HSALNT0180144". Lineage: Eukaryota; Metazoa; Chordata; Mammalia; Primates; Hominidae. The record is from RNAcentral.